RNAcentral lists this ribosomal RNA (1420 nucleotides) under bacterium. RNAcentral's name for it is "bacterial SSU rRNA". It matches the Rfam family "Bacterial small subunit ribosomal RNA". The record is from RNAcentral.
UGCAAGUCGAGCGAACAGAUGAGAAGCUUGCUUCUCUGAUGUUAGCGGCGGACGGGUGAGUAACACGUGGGUAACCUACCUAUAAGACUGGGAUAACUCCGGGAAACCGGGGCUAAUACCGGAUAAUAUUUUGAACCGCAUGGUUCAAUAGUGAAAGACGGUUUCGGCUGUCACUUAUAGAUGGACCCGCGCCGUAUUAGCUAGUUGGUAAGGUAAUGGCUUACCAAGGCGACGAUACGUAGCCGACCUGAGAGGGUGAUCGGCCACACUGGAACUGAGACACGGUCCAGACUCCUACGGGAGGCAGCAGUAGGGAAUCUUCCGCAAUGGGCGAAAGCCUGACGGAGCAACGCCGCGUGAGUGAUGAAGGUCUUCGGAUCGUAAAACUCUGUUGUUAGGGAAGAACAAAUUUGUUAGUAACUGAACAAGUCUUGACGGUACCUAACCAGAAAGCCACGGCUAACUACGUGCCAGCAGCCGCGGUAAUACGUAGGUGGCAAGCGUUAUCCGGAAUUAUUGGGCGUAAAGCGCGCGUAGGCGGUUUCUUAAGUCUGAUGUGAAAGCCCACGGCUCAACCGUGGAGGGUCAUUGGAAACUGGGAAACUUGAGUGCAGAAGAGGAGAGUGGAAUUCCAUGUGUAGCGGUGAAAUGCGCAGAGAUAUGGAGGAACACCAGUGGCGAAGGCGGCUCUCUGGUCUGUAACUGACGCUGAUGUGCGAAAGCGUGGGGAUCAAACAGGAUUAGAUACCCUGGUAGUCCACGCCGUAAACGAUGAGUGCUAAGUGUUAGGGGGUUUCCGCCCCUUAGUGCUGCAGCUAACGCAUUAAGCACUCCGCCUGGGGAGUACGACCGCAAGGUUGAAACUCAAAGGAAUUGACGGGGACCCGCACAAGCGGUGGAGCAUGUGGUUUAAUUCGAAGCAACGCGAAGAACCUUACCAAAUCUUGACAUCCUUUGACCGCUCUAGAGAUAGAGUCUUCCCCUUCGGGGGACAAAGUGACAGGUGGUGCAUGGUUGUCGUCAGCUCGUGUCGUGAGAUGUUGGGUUAAGUCCCGCAACGAGCGCAACCCUUAAGCUUAGUUGCCAUCAUUAAGUUGGGCACUCUAGGUUGACUGCCGGUGACAAACCGGAGGAAGGUGGGGAUGACGUCAAAUCAUCAUGCCCCUUAUGAUUUGGGCUACACACGUGCUACAAUGGAUAAUACAAAGGGCAGCGAAUCCGCGAGGCCAAGCAAAUCCCAUAAAAUUAUUCUCAGUUCGGAUUGUAGUCUGCAACUCGACUACAUGAAGCUGGAAUCGCUAGUAAUCGUAGAUCAGCAUGCUACGGUGAAUACGUUCCCGGGUCUUGUACACACCGCCCGUCACACCACGAGAGUUUGUAACACCCGAAGCCGGUGGAGUAACCUUUUAGGAGCUAGCCC